Molecule: ribosomal RNA, 405 nt
Filed under: uncultured rumen bacterium
Lineage: Bacteria
Description: bacterial SSU rRNA
Rfam family: Bacterial small subunit ribosomal RNA
Source: RNAcentral
GUGGGGAAUAUUGCACAAUGGGGGAAACCCUGAUGCAGCGACGCCGCGUGAGUGAUGAAGUAUUUCGGUAUGUAAAGCUCUAUCAGCAGGGAAGAAAAUGACGGUACCUGACUAAGAAGCACCGGCUAAAUACGUGCCAGCAGCCGCGGUAAUACGUAUGGUGCAAGCGUUAUCCGGAUUUACUGGGUGUAAAGGGAGCGUAGGCGGCAUGGCAAGUCAGAUGUGAAAGCCCGGGGCCCAACCCCGGAACUGCAUUUGAAACUGUCAGGCUAGAGUACCGGAGAGGUAAGCGGAAUUCCUAGUGUAGCGGUGAAAUGCGUAGAUAUUAGGAGGAACACCAGUGGCGAAGGCGGCUUACUGGACGGUAACUGACGCUGAGGCUCGAAAGCGUGGGGAGCAAACAGG